UACGUAGGCAGCGAGCGUUGUUCGGAAUUACUGGGCGUAAAGAGUGUGUAGGCGGUGCUCUAAGUUCGGUGUGAAAUCUCCUGGCUCAACUGGGAGGGUGCGCCGGAAACUGGAGUGCUUGAGCGUGGGAGAGGAAAGCGGAAUUCCUGGUGUAGCGGUGAAAUGCGUAGAGAUCGGGAAGAACAUCAGUGGCGAAGGCGGUCUGCUGGGCCGUUGCUGACGCUGAGGCGCGACAGCGUGGGGAGCAAACAGG
This 253-nucleotide ribosomal RNA is filed under the name uncultured bacterium. RNAcentral's name for it is "partial 16S ribosomal RNA". It matches the Rfam family "Bacterial small subunit ribosomal RNA", at positions 524 to 776 of the family's 1533-position model. The record is from RNAcentral.